UCUCUCUCUCUCGUCACUCUCUCCCUCAACAUACAACGCUGCACCGCCGGCGACAUCAUGUUUAACUCCGGCGACGGCAACAUCAUUCUCAGCCUUAAUCAGAUUUCUACUUUUACAAAUUAAAGAAACACACCAUCAUUCUUCAUAGCACUAAAGAAACACACGAAUUCUUCACAGACUUAUACUUUUACAAAUUAAAGAAACAAGAUUGAGGCAAUUUCUUUACAAAUGCUUGCUCCAAGGCACAAGAUUUGAUGGAAAGAGUAUUCUACAGAAUGAAGGAGAAUUUAUGCAGACCAAAUUGAAGAAGUGUUUAUAAAUUCUCCAACAACCAACAGAGAAUUUAUGUCCUAGCCGAAGAAGAUGAAGUGGGAGGGCAGCGACACAGCGGCCGUGGAGGUGGGAGAAGGGCGAAGGCGGCGCAUGGGUGGAGGCGAGAGGGCGAAGGAGCUCGAAGGGUGGAGGUGGGAGAGCGCCGAAUGUGGCGCUCAGAUUCAGGUGGGAGGGCGGCGGGUGCAUUGAGGCUCUUCUACGGUGCCGAUUAGGGCUCCGUCGACCUCUCAUGGGCUUUCAACCACAGCGAUUUUACAGAUCUCCCCUCCCUUGGCUUAGAUCUGGGCACGGUAGCGCAACGGAGAAGAUGAAGCAAGAGGGGUGACGACGGCGCGACGGCACGGCGUAGGCCAUGUCCGUGUGUGUCAGAGAGAGAUAGAGAAGAUAGAACAGAAGCGUCGGCCGUGGUGUUGAGGCGGCGGCCGUGAGGAUGGAGGAGAGGCGGCGGCCGUGAGUUUCAGGCAAAGAGAGAGAGUCCAGAGGGUGGGUAGGAGAGAGGGGUUUAGAGAGAGAGAGAGAGCUAUGAAAGAGAUGUGAGUGUUAAUUAGGAGAGAGAUGGAAUGCUAAACAUUUUUUAAUUAUUACCAAAAAAAGAAAUGGGACAAGAUUAUUGAGACAACCCAAAAAGGAAAGUGGGACAAGAUUAUUGGG
This 984-nucleotide long non-coding RNA is filed under the name Salvia miltiorrhiza (redroot sage). RNAcentral's name for it is "long non-coding RNA (SMIL_LNC003089)". The record is from RNAcentral. Lineage: Eukaryota; Viridiplantae; Streptophyta; Magnoliopsida; Lamiales; Lamiaceae.